RNAcentral lists this ribosomal RNA (87 nucleotides) under Pseudomonas marginalis. The record is from RNAcentral. Lineage: Bacteria; Pseudomonadati; Pseudomonadota; Gammaproteobacteria; Pseudomonadales; Pseudomonadaceae.
CGAUCCCAUCCCGAACUCAGCAGUGAAACGAUGCAUCGCCGAUGGUAGUGUGGGGUUUCCCCAUGUGAGAGUAGGUCAUCGUCAAGA